Molecule: ribosomal RNA, 253 nt
Filed under: uncultured bacterium
Lineage: Bacteria
Description: partial 16S ribosomal RNA
Rfam family: Bacterial small subunit ribosomal RNA
Source: RNAcentral
UACGGAGGGUGCGAGCGUUGUCCGGAUUUAUUGGGUUUAAAGGGUGCGUAGGCGGCCUGGUAAGUCGGCGGUGAAAGCCCGGGGCUCAACCCCGGAACUGCCAUCGAUACUGUCAGGCUUGAGUACGGGUGAGGCUGGCGGAAUGGGCGGUGUAGCGGUGAAAUGCAUAGAUACCGUCCAGAACCCCGAUUGCGAAGGCAGCUGGCUAAGCCGUAACUGACGCUGAGGCACGAAAGCGUGGGGAGCGAACAGG